This 461-nucleotide ribosomal RNA is filed under the name uncultured bacterium. RNAcentral's name for it is "partial 16S ribosomal RNA". It matches the Rfam family "Bacterial small subunit ribosomal RNA", at positions 339 to 795 of the family's 1533-position model. The record is from RNAcentral.
CUACGGGGGGCUGCAGUCGAGAAUCUUCCGCAAUGGACGAAAGUCUGACGGAGCGACGCCGCGUGCGGGAUGAAGGCCUUCGGGUUGUAAACCGCUGUCAGUGGGGAGGAAAUGCAUCAGGGUUCUCCCUGGUGUUUGACCGAUCCGCAGAGGAAGCGCAGGCUAAGUUCAUGCCAGCAGCCGCGGUAACACGAACUGCGCGAACGUUAUUCGGAAUCACUGGGCUUAAAGAGUUCGUAGGCGGCCUUUCACGUCGGGUGUGAAAUCCCUCGGCUCAACCGAGGAAUUGCGCCUGAUACUGUUGGGCUUGAGGGGGAUAGGGGUGAGCGGAACUGAUGGUGUAGCGGUGAAAUGCGUUGAUAUCAUCAGGAACACCGGUGGCGAAGGCGGCUCACUGGAUCUCUUCUGACGCUGAGGAACGAAAGCUAGGGGAGCGAACGGGAUUAGAUACCCGCGUAGUC